AUGCUUGUCGAGAAAAACAAGCAUGAACAAUACUAUAUUGUUUACAAGCUUCUUAAGUUGGUAUUAAUUCUGCCAGUAGCUACUGCUAGUGUUGAAAGGGUGUUCUCUUCAAUGAACUAUCUGAAGAAUAAGCUAAGGAGCAAAAUGGGUGACGAUUACUUGAAUAAUUGUUUGGUUACAUUUGUUGAAAGAGGAUUCUUCAAUCAAGUAAAGGAUGAGGAUGUCAUCAAUCUCUUCCAAAAAGACGAUCGCAAAGUUAUAUUGUAA
Molecule: ribosomal RNA, 267 nt
Filed under: Triticum aestivum (bread wheat)
Lineage: Eukaryota; Viridiplantae; Streptophyta; Magnoliopsida; Poales; Poaceae
Description: partial small subunit ribosomal RNA
Source: RNAcentral